This 251-nucleotide ribosomal RNA is filed under the name uncultured bacterium. Its description in RNAcentral is "partial 16S ribosomal RNA". It matches the Rfam family "Bacterial small subunit ribosomal RNA", at positions 524 to 776 of the family's 1533-position model. The record is from RNAcentral.
UACGUAGGUCCCGAGCGUUGUCCGGAUUUAUUGGGCGUAAAGCGAGCGCAGGUGGUUUAUUAAGUCUGGUGUAAAAGGCAGUGGCUCAACCAUUGUAUGCAUUGGAAACUGGUAGACUUGAGUGCAGGAGAGGAGAGUGGAAUUCCAUGUGUAGCGGUGAAUGCGUAGAUAUAUGGAGGAACACCGGUGGCGAAAGCGGCUCUCUGGCCUGUAACUGACACUGAGGCUCGAAAGCGUGGGGAGCAAACAGG